This is a non-coding RNA of Salmo salar (Atlantic salmon), 58 nucleotides long. The record is from Rfam. Lineage: Eukaryota; Metazoa; Chordata; Actinopteri; Salmoniformes; Salmonidae.
UGGCUCAGUUGGUAGAGCAUGGUGUGUGCAACACCAGGGUUGUGGGUUUGAUUCCCAC